GACGAACGCUGGCGGCGUGCUUAACACAUGCAAGUCGAACGCUGAAGCCUAGCUUGCUGGGUGGAUGAGUGGCGAACGGGUGAGUAACACGUGAGUAACCUGCCCUCUUCUUUGGGAUAACGCCCGGAAACGGGUGCUAAUACUGGAUAUUCACUGAUCUUCGCAUGGGGGUUGGUGGAAAGGUUUUUUCUGGUGGGGGAUGGGCUCGCGGCCUAUCAGCUUGUUGGUGGGGUGAUGGCCUACCAAGGCUUUGACGGGUAGCCGGCCUGAGAGGGUGACCGGUCACAUUGGGACUGAGAUACGGCCCAGACUCCUACGGGAGGCAGCAGUGGGGAAUAUUGCACAAUGGGCGAAAGCCUGAUGCAGCGACGCCGCGUGAGGGAUGGAGGCCUUCGGGUUGUAAACCUCUUUCGCUCAUGGUCAAGCCGCAA
Molecule: ribosomal RNA, 431 nt
Filed under: Schaalia odontolytica
Lineage: Bacteria; Bacillati; Actinomycetota; Actinomycetes; Actinomycetales; Actinomycetaceae
Description: bacterial SSU rRNA
Rfam family: Bacterial small subunit ribosomal RNA
Source: RNAcentral